RNAcentral lists this ribosomal RNA (427 nucleotides) under uncultured bacterium. Its description in RNAcentral is "partial 16S ribosomal RNA". It matches the Rfam family "Bacterial small subunit ribosomal RNA", at positions 355 to 774 of the family's 1533-position model. The record is from RNAcentral.
UGGGGAAUAUUGCACAAUGGGCGCAAGCCUGAUGCAGCCAUGCCGCGUGUAUGAAGAAGGCCUUCGGGUUGUAAAGUACUUUCAGCGAGGAGGAAGGCGUUGUGGUUAAUAACCGCAACGAUUGACGUUACUCGCAGAAGAAGCACCGGCUAACUCCGUGCCAGCAGCCGCGGUAAUACGGAGGGUGCAAGCGUUAAUCGGAAUUACUGGGCGUAAAGCGCACGCAGGCGGUCUGUCAAGUCGGAUGUGAAAGCCCCGGGCUCAACCUGGGAACUGCAUCCGAAACUGGCAGGCGAGAGUCUUGUAGAGGAGGGUAGAAUUCCAGGUGUAGCGGUGAAAUGCGUAGAGAUCUGGAGGAAUACCGGUGGCGAAGGCGGCCCCCUGGACAAAGACUGACGCUCAGGUGCGAAAGCGUGGGGAGCAAACA